This 531-nucleotide long non-coding RNA is filed under the name Notechis scutatus (mainland tiger snake). RNAcentral describes it as "lncRNA (ENSNSUG00000019835.1)". The record is from RNAcentral. Lineage: Eukaryota; Metazoa; Chordata; Lepidosauria; Squamata; Elapidae.
CCGGUUGCUCAGGUGGGCCAAGCUGGGACGGUCCUUGUGAUCUCGCCCUUGGGUGAGUCAAGAAUCAGUUCAGAAAGAAACCGAGAGGCCUUCGCGAGCCACCUCAGGACACGGAACCAGUAUAUUCUCGCCUGGGGAUUAUUAAAUGCCGAAAGGCAAAGGCCAGGCCUGAGUAGGGUGCAUGGCGGCCCUCCCUUCUCUGAACCCCAGGCUCCUUUGUAGUUUUUGUGUUGCAGGACCUACAAAGAGGUUUUCCGGUGGGUGAUACAGGACUUCCUGGAGAAGCCAGGCAGCGGAAUCGACAUCCGUCCCCACGGCCGACUGUCCCUUGGAGCGAUGGACAGCAAGAUGAAAGCGAUGCUCAUAGACGAAUUACACGAGCGAGGAUUUGAGAGAUACAGAGAGAUAUUUACGCAGUACAUGAAGUUUGGCCCGUGCGUCAAAAUUAAGUUCAGAUUAUCAGACUACCCCCCCAAACCAGAAACCACCAUCCUAAAGAAACGGCAUCCAGAACCCCAAGAGCUCCUGGAG